CGGGUGAGUAACACGUGGAUAACCUACCUAUAAGACUGGGAUAACUUCGGGAAACCGGAGCUAAUACCGGAUAAUAUUUUGAACCGCAUGGUUCAAAAGUGAAAGACGGUCUUGCUGUCACUUAUAGAUGGAUCCGCGCUGCAUUAGCUAGUUGGUAAGGUAACGGCUUACCAAGGCAACGAUGCACAGCCGACCUGAGAGGGUGAUCGGCCACACUGGAACUGAGACACGGUCCAGACUCCUACGGGAGGCAGCAGCC
This 259-nucleotide ribosomal RNA is filed under the name uncultured Staphylococcus sp. RNAcentral's name for it is "partial 16S ribosomal RNA". It matches the Rfam family "Bacterial small subunit ribosomal RNA", at positions 103 to 355 of the family's 1533-position model. The record is from RNAcentral. Lineage: Bacteria; Bacillati; Bacillota; Bacilli; Caryophanales; Staphylococcaceae.